This 253-nucleotide ribosomal RNA is filed under the name uncultured bacterium. RNAcentral describes it as "partial 16S ribosomal RNA". It matches the Rfam family "Bacterial small subunit ribosomal RNA", at positions 524 to 776 of the family's 1533-position model. The record is from RNAcentral.
UACAGAGGGGGCAAGCGUUAUUCGGAAUUAUUGGGCGUAAAGGGCGCGUAGGCGGCUUUUCAAGUGACGGGUGAAAUCCCUCGGCUUAACCGAGGAACUGCCUGUCAGACUGGAAGGCUUGAGACCGGGAGAGGUGAGUGGAAUUCCAGGUGUAGCGGUGAAAUGCGUAGAUAUCUGGAGGAACACCGGUGGCGAAGGCGGCAUCCUGGACCAAUACUGACGCUGAGGAGCGAAAGCCAGGGGAGCAAACGGG